UCGAGAAUUUUUCUCAAUGGGGGCAACCCUGAAGGAGCGACGCCGCGUGGAGGAUGAAGGUCUUCGGAUUGUAAACUCCUGUCAUUAGGGAACAAUUGUCAUGGGAAUAACUGCCCGUGGCUUGAUAGUACCUGAAGAGGAAGAGACGGCUAACUCUGUGCCAGCAGCCGCGGUAAUACAGAGGUCUCAAGCGUUGUUCGGAUUCAUUGGGCGUAAAGGGUGCGUAGGUGGCGGGGCCAGUCAGGUGUGAAAUCCCGGGGCUUAACCCUGGAACUGCAUUUGAUACUGCCUUGCUAGAGAACUGGAGAGGAGACUGGAAUUUACGGUGUAGCAGUGAAAUGCGUAGAGAUCGUAAGGAAGACCAGUGGCGAAGGCGAGUCUCUGGACAGUUACUGACACUGAGGCACGAAGGCCAGGGGAGCAAACGG
RNAcentral lists this ribosomal RNA (428 nucleotides) under uncultured bacterium. RNAcentral's name for it is "bacterial SSU rRNA". It matches the Rfam family "Bacterial small subunit ribosomal RNA", at positions 355 to 775 of the family's 1533-position model. The record is from RNAcentral.